This 269-nucleotide ribosomal RNA is filed under the name uncultured prokaryote. Its description in RNAcentral is "partial 16S ribosomal RNA". It matches the Rfam family "Bacterial small subunit ribosomal RNA", at positions 524 to 792 of the family's 1533-position model. The record is from RNAcentral.
UACGUAGGAGGCUAGCGUUAUCCGGAUUUACUGGGCGUAAAGAGGGCGUAGGCGGUUCUACAAGUCGGAUGUAAAAUCUCCCGGCUCAACUGGGAGGGACCAUUCGAUACUGCUGGGCUAGAGGGCAGCAGGGGGAGGUAGAAUUCCCGGUGUAGUGGUGAAAUGCGUAGAUAUCGGGAGGAAUACCAGUAGCGAAGGCGGCCUCCUGGGCUGUUGCUGACGCUGAGGCCCGAAAGCGUGGGGAGCGAACAGGAUUAGAUACCCCCGUA